Molecule: long non-coding RNA, 617 nt
Organism: Pseudopipra pipra
Lineage: Eukaryota; Metazoa; Chordata; Aves; Passeriformes; Pipridae
Exons: 2
Source: RefSeq, a predicted model, not a curated record
AGCCCGGGGAACAGCAGCUCGGCGGUGACUGGCUUGCGGGGGAGUUGCCCCGCAGAAUCCAGGCAUGUCGGUAACUGAGAACAGAAAGCAGAAUCUCUCUCUCUUUAGUCCUUCUACUCACUUGUGGAUAACUUAAAACUAAAAGAUUGUGUUUUACUAAAAGUUAGCAUGCAAGAAAUUUUAAGAGUUUCCCAGAGAAUGAAUCUUUAUAUAAAAGCUUUAGUGAGUUGCCUUGGUUUUAGUCACAUUUUACCCCUGUAAAGAACUUCUGCCCAAAUUUCGUGUUCAGUCUUAGCAGGAGGAGACAUAAGGUUCACACAAUAGAGAUCAUUUGUUGCUUAGCAACUGGGUGGGACUCAAACCACCUCCAGCAGUUUCUCAGAACUAGGGAGAGAGUAGAACUUAUACACCAAAAACUACAAAUCUGCAAAUAAGAUAAAUGGAAAGCUGGCAGGCUGAGGAUUUCCUUGAUUCUUAGAUAAAAGAACUAAAAACACGAGGAGAUGAUGUAGAUCACAUCUAAGGAACUGGCUGCAAGCUGGAAUCUGGCCUUCUAUAUCCUUCUGAACUGCACAUGUAGCUUAAGGCUGAGUAUUAAACAGAAUGAUCAAACAGUA